RNAcentral lists this ribosomal RNA (433 nucleotides) under uncultured bacterium. Its description in RNAcentral is "partial 16S ribosomal RNA". It matches the Rfam family "Bacterial small subunit ribosomal RNA", at positions 29 to 507 of the family's 1533-position model. The record is from RNAcentral.
AACGAACGCUGGCGGCAUGCCUAACACAUGCAAGUCGAACGAGACCUUCGGGUCUAGUGGCGCACGUGUGCGUAACGCGUGGGAACCUGCCCUUAGGUUCGGAAUAACUCCCCGAAAGGGGUGCUAAUACCGGAUAAUGUCUUCGGACCAAAGAUUUAUCGCCUUUGGAUGGGCCCGCGUUGGAUUAGCUAGUUGGUAGGGUAAUAGCCUACCAAGGCGACGAUCCAUAGCUGGUCUGAGAGGAUGAUCAGCCACACUGGGACUGAGACACGGCCCAGACUCCUACGGGAAGCAGCAGUGGGGAAUAUUGGACGAUGGGCGAAAGCCUGAUCCAGCAAUGCCGCGUGAGUGAUGAAGGCCUUAGGGUUGUAAAGCUCUUUUACCCGGGAUGAUAAUGACAGUACCGGGAGAAUAAGCACCGGCUAACUCCGUG